UACGUAGGGGGCAAGCGUUGUCUGGAAUCAUUGGGCGUAAAGCGCGUGUAGGCGGCUCGAUAAGUCUGCUGUGAAAGUCCAGGGCUCAACCCUGGAAAGCCGGUGGAAACUGUCGAGCUAGAGUCCGGAAGAGGCGAGUGGAAUUCCUGGUGUAGCGGUGAAAUGCGCAGAUAUCAGGAGGAACACCAAUGGCGAAGGCAGCUCGCUGGGACGGUACUGACGCUGAGACGCGAAAGCGUGGGGAGCAAACAGG
This 253-nucleotide ribosomal RNA is filed under the name uncultured bacterium. Its description in RNAcentral is "partial 16S ribosomal RNA". It matches the Rfam family "Bacterial small subunit ribosomal RNA", at positions 524 to 776 of the family's 1533-position model. The record is from RNAcentral.